GAUGAACGCUAGCGGCAGGCCUAACACAUGCAAGUCGAGGGGUAGAACACUUCGGUGUUUGAGACCGGCGCACGGGUUCGUAACGCGUAUGCAAUCUGCCUUACACUAAGGGAUAGCCCAGAGAAAUUUGGAUUAAUACCUUAUAGUAUAUUGAUGUGGCAUCACAUUAUUAUUAAAGCUUGACUGGUGUAAGAUGAGCAUGCGUCCCAUUAGGUAGUUGGUCAGGUAACGGCAUACCAAGGCGAUGAUGGGUAGGGGACCUGAGAGGGAGGUCCCCCAAACGGGUACGGAGACACGGACCAGACUCCUACGGGAGGGCGCAGUGAGGAAUAUUGGUCAAUGGUGGCAAGACUGAACCAGCCAUGCCGCGUGCAGGAUGAAGCAUCUAUGGUGUGUAAACUGCUUUUGUACGGGAAGAAACACCUCUUCGUGAAGAGGCUUGACGGUACCGUAAGAAUAAGGAACGGCUAACUCCGUGUCAGCAGCCGCCGUAA
Molecule: ribosomal RNA, 494 nt
Filed under: uncultured bacterium
Lineage: Bacteria
Description: partial 16S ribosomal RNA
Rfam family: Bacterial small subunit ribosomal RNA
Source: RNAcentral